GGAUCCCAGACGAGCUUCUACCAUGGGGCAGGAUCCACCAGCCAGGUCAUUGCUCUGAGCUUCCACGACAACCGAUCUUUGAUCGAGCUCCUACAAUAAGCGGCCUCCUUUCGGCCUCCUGCAAGAAUCAAACUCCAUCCGAACUUCCACAGUGGAUGGAUUCCGGAUGAGCUCCUGCAAAAAUCGAACUCCGUCCAAACUUCCACAGCGGAUGGAUUUCGGACGAGCUUCUGUA
Molecule: long non-coding RNA, 235 nt
Filed under: Elaeis guineensis (African oil palm)
Lineage: Eukaryota; Viridiplantae; Streptophyta; Magnoliopsida; Arecales; Arecaceae
Description: long non-coding RNA (EGUI_LNC068984)
Source: RNAcentral